GGGCGAGCCUGAUCCAGCCAUGCCCGCGUGAGCUGAAGAAGGUCUUCGGAUUGUAAAGCACCUUUAAGUUGGGAGGAAGGGCAUUAACCUAAUACGGUUAGUGCUUUGACGUUACCGACAGAAUAAGCACCGGCUAACUCUGUGCCAGCAGCCCGCGGUAAUAA
RNAcentral lists this ribosomal RNA (164 nucleotides) under uncultured Pseudomonas sp. Its description in RNAcentral is "partial 16S ribosomal RNA". It matches the Rfam family "Bacterial small subunit ribosomal RNA", at positions 373 to 526 of the family's 1533-position model. The record is from RNAcentral. Lineage: Bacteria; Pseudomonadati; Pseudomonadota; Gammaproteobacteria; Pseudomonadales; Pseudomonadaceae.